Molecule: ribosomal RNA, 651 nt
Filed under: uncultured bacterium
Lineage: Bacteria
Description: bacterial SSU rRNA
Rfam family: Bacterial small subunit ribosomal RNA
Source: RNAcentral
GCAGUCGACGGAGUUAUUUUCUUCACUCCGAGCUUUUUGCCAGUUAGCCAGAGCGGCAAUCGGUUUUGCCCAGCAUAUAAAGCGAAACCGAUUUAGGCUCAUAAAGUAAGACUAACACAGAGGGCAGAGAGUUGGGAGUGAAGAAAAUAACUUCGUGGCGAACGGGUGAGUAACGCGUGAGUAACCUGCCCUGGAGUGGGGGACAACAGUUGGAAACGACUGCUAAUACCGCAUAAGCCCACGGAUUCGCAUGGAUCUGCGGGAAAAGGAUUUAUUCGCUUCAGGAUGGACUCGCGUCCAAUUAGCUAGUUGGUGAGGUAACGGCCCACCAAGGCGACGAUUGGUAGCCGGACUGAGAGGUUGAACGGCCACAUUGGGACUGAGACACGGCCCAGACUCCUACGGGAGGCAGCAGUGGGGGAUAUUGCACAAUGGGGGAAACCCUGAUGCAGCGACGCCGCGUGGAGGAAGAAGGUUUUCGGAUUGUAAACUCCUGUCGUUAGGGACGAUAAUGACGGUACCUAACAAGAAAGCACCGGCUAACUACGUGCCAGCAGCCGCGGUAAAACGUAGGGUGCAAGCGUUGUCCGGAAUUACUGGGUGUAAAGGGAGCGCAGGCGGACCGGCAAGUUGGAAGUGAAAACUAUGGGC